RNAcentral lists this ribosomal RNA (494 nucleotides) under uncultured bacterium. Its description in RNAcentral is "bacterial SSU rRNA". It matches the Rfam family "Bacterial small subunit ribosomal RNA", at positions 15 to 507 of the family's 1533-position model. The record is from RNAcentral.
GAUCCUGGCUCAGAUUGAACGCUGGCGGAAUGCUUUACACAUGACAAGUCGAACGGUAGAGGGGGCAACCCCUUGAGAGUGGCGAACGGGUGAGUAAUAUAUCGGAACGUGCCCAGUCGUGGGGGAUAACGUAGCGAAAGUUACGCUAAUACCGCAUACGAUCUAAGGAUGAAAGCGGGGGAUCGCAAGACCUCGCGCGAUUGGAGCGGCCGAUAUCAGAUUAGGUAGUUGGUGAGGUAAAGGCUCACCAAGCCGACGAUCUGUAGCUGGUCUGAGAGGACGACCAGCCACACUGGGACUGAGACACGGCCCAGACUCCUACGGGAGGCAGCAGUGGGGAAUUUUGGACAAUGGGCGCAAGCCUGAUCCAGCAAUGCCGCGUGCAGGAAGAAGGCCUUCGGGUUGUAAACUGCUUUUGUACGGAACGAAAAGGCUCUUUCUAAUAAAGAGGGCCCAUGACGGUACCGUAAGAAUAAGCACCGGCUAACUACGUG